ACACUGCUGCAGUGUUCGACUAGCCGGAAAAUUCUUCGAGCCUUAAUUUCUUGAGGGGGCCAGUCCCUGAGGACAGUGUGCAAGCCUGACUUGAUUGGGAAGCCUUAGUCCUCAUACCAACUCCCACCUGCGCAAGCAGGUUCAAGAAUCCCGGCAAAACGGCACAGGCGGGGUGUC
This 177-nucleotide non-coding RNA is filed under the name SAR324 cluster bacterium. RNAcentral's name for it is "6S RNA". It matches the Rfam family "6S / SsrS RNA". From Rfam's summary of the family: E. coli 6S RNA was the first non coding RNA to be sequenced, but its function was unknown until recently. It consists of 184 nucleotides that fold into an extended hairpin structure with a large single-stranded internal bulge. The 6S RNA specifically associates with RNA polymerase holoenzyme containing the sigma70 specificity factor. Lineage: Bacteria; Deltaproteobacteria. The record is from RNAcentral.